AUGAACGCUGGCGGCGUGCCUAAUACAUGCAAGUCGAGCGAACGGACGAGAAGCUUGCUUCUCUGAUGUUAGCGGCGGACGGGUGAGUAACACGUGGAUAACCUACCUAUAAGACUGGGAUAACUUCGGGAAACCGGAGCUAAUACCGGAUGAUAUUUUGAACCGCAUGGUUCAAAAGUGAAAGACGGUCUUGCUGUCACUUAUAGAUGGAUCCGCGCUGCAUUAGCUAGGUGGUAAGGUAACGGCUUACCAAGGCAACGAUGCAUAGCCGACCUGAGAGGGUGAUCGGCCACACUGGAACUGAGACACGGUCCAGACUCCUACGGGAGGCAGCAGUAGGGAAUCUUCCGCAAUGGGCGAAAGCCUGACGGAGCAACGCCGCGUGAGUGAUGAAGGUCUUCGGAUCGUAAAACUCUGUUAUUAGGGAAGAACAUAUGUGUAAGUAACUGUGCACAUCUUGACGGUACCUAAUCAGAAAGCCACGGCUAACUACGUG
This 496-nucleotide ribosomal RNA is filed under the name uncultured bacterium. RNAcentral's name for it is "partial 16S ribosomal RNA". It matches the Rfam family "Bacterial small subunit ribosomal RNA", at positions 29 to 507 of the family's 1533-position model. The record is from RNAcentral.